This 253-nucleotide ribosomal RNA is filed under the name uncultured bacterium. RNAcentral's name for it is "partial 16S ribosomal RNA". It matches the Rfam family "Bacterial small subunit ribosomal RNA", at positions 524 to 776 of the family's 1533-position model. The record is from RNAcentral.
UACGGAGGGUGCAAGCGUUAUCCGGAUUCACUGGGCUUAAAGGGUGCGCAGGCGGACUUGUAAGUCAGGGGUGAAAUCUCACAGCUCAACUGUGAAACUGCCUUUGAUACUGCAAGUCUUGGAUCCAGAAGAGAGUUGUGGAAUUCCGAGUGUAGCAGUGAAAUGUGUAGAUAUUCGGAAGAACACCAGUGGCGAAGGCAGCAACUUGGUCUGGUAUCGACGCUCAGGCACGAAAGCAUGGGGAUCAAACAGG